This 215-nucleotide small nucleolar RNA is filed under the name Solanum lycopersicum (tomato). RNAcentral's name for it is "Plant small nucleolar RNA U3". It matches the Rfam family "Plant small nucleolar RNA U3". Rfam says of the family: Small nucleolar RNAs (snoRNAs) are involved in the processing and modification of rRNA in the nucleolus. There are two main classes of snoRNAs: the box C/D class, and the box H/ACA class. U3 snoRNA is a member of the box C/D class. Lineage: Eukaryota; Viridiplantae; Streptophyta; Magnoliopsida; Solanales; Solanaceae. RNAcentral also lists the same sequence under 1 other name. The record is from Rfam by way of RNAcentral.
ACGACCUUACUUGAACAGGAUCUGUUCUAUAGGCUCGUACCAUUGUAUCCUUGAUUUCUAAGGAGACAGGAAUUCAAGUCUGGUUGAUGAAGCAUGGCCAUGUGACCAGAGCGUGAUUAACAGCUAUCCAUGGUUUCUCAGCUCUGGUUGCAGUAGAUGAUCGUUCUUGGAUCUGAUUUCAGGCCCAGGAUGGUCCCAUGGCUGUCUGACAGACU